Molecule: ribosomal RNA, 253 nt
Filed under: uncultured bacterium
Lineage: Bacteria
Description: partial 16S ribosomal RNA
Rfam family: Bacterial small subunit ribosomal RNA
Source: RNAcentral
UACGUAGGCAGCGAGCGUUGUUCGGAGUUACUGGGCGUAAAGGGUGCGUAGGCGGUUGUCUAAGUUUGGUGUGAAAUCUCCCGGCUUAACUGGGAGGGUGCGCCAAAUACUGGAUAGCUAGAGUGCGGGAGGGGAGAGUGGAAUUCCUGGUGUAGCGGUGAAAUGCGUAGAUAUCAGGAGGAACACCUGUGGUGUAGACGGCUCUCUGGACCGCAACUGACGCUGAGGCACGAAAGCGUGGGGAGCAAACAGG